Molecule: ribosomal RNA, 464 nt
Filed under: uncultured bacterium
Lineage: Bacteria
Description: partial 16S ribosomal RNA
Rfam family: Bacterial small subunit ribosomal RNA
Source: RNAcentral
GACGAACGCUGGCGGCGUGCUUAACACAUGCAAGUCGAACGGAAAGGCCCUGCUUGCAGGGUACUCGAGUGGCGAACGGGUGAGUAACACGUGGGUGAUCUGCCCUGCACUUCGGGAUAAGCUUGGGAAACUGGGUCUAAUACCGGAUAGGAGCCAUCUUUAGUGUGGUGGUUGGAAAGUUUUUUCGGUGUAGGAUGAGCUCGCGGCCUAUCAGCUUGUUGGUGGGGUAAUGGCCUACCAAGGCGGCGACGGGUAGCCGGCCUGAGAGGGUGACCGGCCACAUUGGGACUGAGAUACGGCCCAGACUCCUACGGGAGGCAGCAGUGGGGAAUAUUGCACAAUGGGCGGAAGCCUGAUGCAGCAACGCCGCGUGCGGGAUGACGGCCUUCGGGUUGUAAACCGCUUUCGCCUGUGACGAAGCGUGAGUGACGGUAAUGGGUAAAGAAGCACCGGCUAACUACGUG